Molecule: ribosomal RNA, 727 nt
Filed under: Creaserinus brevistylus
Lineage: Eukaryota; Metazoa; Arthropoda; Malacostraca; Decapoda; Cambaridae
Description: partial 28S large subunit ribosomal RNA
Rfam family: Eukaryotic large subunit ribosomal RNA (bases 281-727)
Source: RNAcentral
AUGCUUGGGCGUGCCUCCACCCACGCCGGCGUCGGCGGGCGUAUUUCGCCUCACAGUAGGUCGCCGCGACCCGUUGCUUUUGGGGACGUCGAAGGCCCGGACGGAUUGGUACCCUACCGGCUGGGGAUGCGGCUUCGGCUUCUCCUCUUGUCCGGUGGGCGAAACCGCCGGUGUCCUGGCUGCCCUGCGACGGUCGUAGAGACGAGCCCUCCCCUUCGGGGGGGCGGCUCUCGCGGCGUGCAAAAGGUCGGUGAUCCACCCGACCCGUCUUGAAACACGGACCAAGGAGUCUAACAUGUGUGCGAGUCAGUGGGCGCACUAAACCCAGAGGCGUAAUGAAAGUGACACGGGUUCGGCUGUCGCCUCGUGUGGCAGCCGGACUCAGGGCCGAUCCCUCACCGGUUGCCCUCGCUUCUCUCCCGCGUCUCGGUAAGCCGGGUGAGCUAUUUUCCCCGGCCGCUGCUGCGGGGCUCGGGGGGAGGCGGGGUUGCGAUGGUGUCCGUAAAAAAGAGCCUGCUGUUGCAGGGGGGCGCAGGCCCGGGACUUGCCAGGACGCCGCGAGACUGUCACUUUGCUGUGAGGCUCUCGGGCCGAUCAGCGGGUCAUGCGUGCAGUCGGCAAGUACCAUGAGCAGACAUGUUGGGACCCGAAAGAUGGUGAACUAUGCCUGGCCAGGAUGAAGCCAGAGGAAACUCUGGUGGAGGUCCGUAGCGAUUCUGACGUGCAA